Molecule: non-coding RNA, 1557 nt
Organism: Phyllostomus hastatus (greater spear-nosed bat)
Lineage: Eukaryota; Metazoa; Chordata; Mammalia; Chiroptera; Phyllostomidae
Source: the annotation of a RefSeq genome assembly
GAGCGGGGGAAAGAAUCUAGAGCAGGGUAGGAUGGGCUGAGCUCUAAGGUUCCCAAGCCAGGGGAGGGGCUGGCUGAGUCACCUACUGAAGGAAGACUUCAAGUGGGCUCUGAGGUGCCCCCGUCAUCUCCCCAUGGAGCCUGAGUUGGACUUCCUUGGAGUCUCCGAACAACUCCCGUCCGUCUUUCCGCUGGUGCCCUGCCACAGCAGCAUCAGCACUGGGGACACCUCUGUGACGCUCGGCUGCCUGAUCAAGGACUACAUCCCGGAGCUCGUGAACGUGACCUGGGACGCAGGGUCCCUGGAACAUAGCGUCAUGACCCUUCCUGCCACCUUAGACUCGACCUUAGGCCUCUAUACCACCGUCAGCCAGGUGACAACUGCCUCAGCUGAGUGGGCCACACAGAAGUUCACCUGCAGCGUGGAGCACGUGGGGGGUGCCCCUGUGAAAAGGAUUGUGCAUGAUAAAGCAGUGUGUGCCACCAACGUCACCCAGCCCACUGUGAAGCUGUACCACUCCUCCUGCAACCCCAGCGGCAAUACCCAGGCCACCAUCCAGCUCCUGUGCCUCAUCUCCGACUUCACCCCAGGUGACAUCACAGUCACCUGGUUGGUGGAUGGGCACUCAGACAAGAACAUGUUCCCACACAUCAGCCCCGCAAAACAGGAGCGCAACCUGUCCUCCGUCGUCAGCCAGCUCAACAUCACCCAGGGCGAGUGGGUAUCCCAAAAAACCUACACCUGCCAGGUCUACUAUCAAGGCUGCACAUUUCAGAAGCAUGCCCGCAACUGCCCAGAGUCCGAGCCCCGUGGUGUGAGCGUCUACCUGAUCCCGCCCAGCCCCCUUGACCUGUACCUCCACAAGUCGCCCAAGAUCACCUGCCUGGUGGUGGACCUGGCCAGCGACGACAGUGUGACCCUGCAGUGGUUCCGGGAGAGCAAGGGCCUCAUGGAAGACACCACGUGGAACAGCAAGCUCCAAUUCAACAUGACCUACACCAUCACAUCCACCCUGCCAGUGGAGGCUGACGACUGGAUCGAGGGCGAGACCUAUGAGUGCAGACUGAGCCACCCGCACCUGCCCAAGGACAUUGUGCGCACCAUCUCCAAGGGCAAUGGCAAGCGUGUUGUCCCCGAGGUCUACGUGUUCCUGCCACCUGAGGAGGAGCAGGGGAACAAGGACACGCUCACCCUCACCUGCCUGAUCCAGAACUUCUUCCCUGCGGACAUCUCGGUGCAGUGGCUGUGCAACGACUCCCUGAUUCCAACCGACAAGCAAGCCACCACGUGGCCCCUCAAGGCCAACAGUUCCAGCCGCACCUUCUUUGUCUUCAGCCGCCUGGAGGUCAGCCGAGCGGACUGGGAGAAGAGGAGCCAGUUCACCUGCCGAGUGGUCCACGAGGCUCUGUCAGGCUCUAGGACCCUCGAGAAAUCAGUGUCCAAAGCCCCUGGUAAUUGACGCCAUCCCUCCUGCCUCUCCCAGGGCUCCAUCCAUCCUGCUGGGAAGGGGAGGGUGCCGGCCAGCCCUUCCACUCAGUGGUGUCAAUAAACACUCCA